CCUACGGGAGGCAGCAGUGGGGGAUAUUGGACAAUGGGGGCAACCCUGAUCCAGCGACGCCGCGUGAGUGAAGAAGGAUUUCGGUAUGUAAAGCUCUGUCAGCAGGGACGAAAGCAGUGACGGUACCUGACCAAGAAGCCCCGGCUAACUACGUGCCAACAGCCGCGGUAAUACGUAGGUGGCAAGCGUUAUCCGGAGUUACUGGGUGUAAAGGGAGCGUAGACGGCUAUGCAAGUCUGGUGUGAAAGGGGAGGGCCCAACCCCGAGCCUGCACUUGAAACUGUGUGUCUGGAGGGCUGGAGAGGCAAGCGGAAUGCCGGGUGUAGGGGUGAAAUGCGUAGAUAUACGGAGGAACACCAGGGGCGAAGGCGGAUUGCUGGACAGUAACUGACGCGGAGGCGCGAAAGCGUGGGGAGCAAACAGGAUUAGAUACCCUAGUAGUC
Molecule: ribosomal RNA, 443 nt
Filed under: uncultured bacterium
Lineage: Bacteria
Description: partial 16S ribosomal RNA
Rfam family: Bacterial small subunit ribosomal RNA
Source: RNAcentral